RNAcentral lists this RNase P RNA (355 nucleotides) under Oscillospiraceae bacterium. RNAcentral's name for it is "RNase P RNA component class A". It matches the Rfam family "Bacterial RNase P class A". Rfam says of the family: Ribonuclease P (RNase P) is a ubiquitous endoribonuclease, found in archaea, bacteria and eukarya as well as chloroplasts and mitochondria. Its best characterised activity is the generation of mature 5'-ends of tRNAs by cleaving the 5'-leader elements of precursor-tRNAs. The record is from RNAcentral. Lineage: Bacteria; Bacillati; Bacillota; Clostridia; Eubacteriales; Oscillospiraceae.
UGACUAAGCUAUACGGUCGCGCGGUAUCAUGCCGAAAGGUAGUACCGUGAGGAAAGUCCGGGCUUCACAGGACAGGAUAACGGAUAACGUCCGCCGAGGGUGACCUCAGGGAAAGUGCAACAGAAAUAAACCGCCGUAUUUAUACGGUAAGGAUGGAAAGGCGAGGUAAGAGCUCACCGGCACACUGGCGACUUUGUGCAAAUGUAAACCCUAUCCGAAGCAACACCGUAUGUGGGAGCAGAUCUUCUGAUGUCUGUCCGGCAGAAUCCCACGGGUGGCACAGAGCUUUGCGGUAACGUAAAGACAAGAUAGAUGACCGUACACGACAGAACCCGGCUUAUUGCUUGGUCAAAAC